RNAcentral lists this unclassified non-coding RNA (306 nucleotides) under plant metagenome. RNAcentral's name for it is "partial contains 5.8S ribosomal RNA, internal transcribed spacer 2, and large subunit ribosomal RNA". The stretch from base 1 to 105 matches the Rfam family "5.8S ribosomal RNA", at positions 50 to 154 of the family's 154-position model. The record is from RNAcentral.
GAAAUGCGAUAAGUAAUGUGAAUUGCAGAAUUCAGUGAAUCAUCGAAUCUUUGAACGCACAUUGCGCCCGCCAGUAUUCUGGCGGGCAUGCCUGUCCGAGCGUCAUUUCAACCAUCAAGCCCCCAGGCUUGUGUUGGGGACCUGCGGCUGCCCGCAGGCCCUGAAAACCAGUGGCGGGCUCGCUGUCACACCGAGCGUAGUAGCAAUCACCUCGCUCAGGGCGUGCUGCGGGUUCCGGCCGUUAAACAGCCUUACAAAACCCAAGGUUGACCUCGGAUCAGGUAGGAAGACCCGCUGAACUUAAGC